RNAcentral lists this ribosomal RNA (223 nucleotides) under uncultured bacterium. RNAcentral describes it as "partial 16S ribosomal RNA". It matches the Rfam family "Bacterial small subunit ribosomal RNA", at positions 524 to 746 of the family's 1533-position model. The record is from RNAcentral.
UACGUAGGGUGCGAGCGUUGUCCGGAAUUAUUGGGCGUAAAGAGCUCGUAGGCGGUUUGUCGCGUCUGCUGUGAAAACCUAAGGCUCAACCUUGGGCUUGCAGUGGGUACGGGCAGACUAGAGUGCGGUAGGGGUGACUGGAAUUCCUGGUGUAGCGGUGGAAUGCGCAGAUAUCAGGAGGAACACCUGUGGUGUAGACAGCUUACUGGACCAUUUCUGACGC